UGGGAGGCUUUGAAGUGUGGACGCCAGUCUGCAUGGAGCCGACCUUGAAAUACCACCCUUUAAUGUUUGAUGUUCUAACGUGGGCCCCUUACCGGGGUUGCGGACAGUGUCUGGUGGGUAGUUUGACUGGGGCGGUCUCCUCCUAAAGAGUAACGGAGGAGCACGAAGGUUGGCUAAUCCUGGUCGGACAUCAGGAGGUUAGUGCAAUGGCAUAAGCCAGCUUGACUGCGAGCGUGACGGCGCGAGCAGGUGCGAAAGCAGGUCAUAGUGAUCCGGUGGUUCUGAAUGGAAGGGCCAUCGCUCAACGGAUAAAAGGUACUCCGGGGAUAACAGGCUGAUACCGCCCAAGAGUUCAUAUCGACGGCGGUGUUUGGCACCUCGAUGUCGGCUCAUCACAUCCUGGGGCUGAAGUAGGUCCCAAGGGUAUGGCUGUUCGCCAUUUAAAGUGGUACGCGAGCUGGGUUUAGAACGUCGUGAGACAGUUCGGUCCCUAUCUGCCGUGGGCGCUGGAGAACUGAGGGGGGCUGCUCCUAGUACGAGAGGACCGGAGUGGACGCAUCACUGGUGUUCGGGUUGUCAUGCCAAUGGCACUGCCCGGUAGCUAAAUGCGGAAGAGAUAAGUGCUGAAAGCAUCUAAGCACGAAACUUGCCCCGAGAUGAGUUCUCCCUGACUCCUUGAGAGUCCUGAAGGAACGUUGAAGACGACGACGUUGAUAGGCCGGGUGUGUAAGCGCAGCGAUGCGUUGAGCUAACCGGUACUAAUGAACCGUGAGGCUUAACCUUACAACGCCGAAG
RNAcentral lists this ribosomal RNA (795 nucleotides) under Escherichia coli. RNAcentral's name for it is "partial 23S ribosomal RNA". It matches the Rfam family "Bacterial large subunit ribosomal RNA", at positions 2148 to 2925 of the family's 2925-position model. Lineage: Bacteria; Pseudomonadati; Pseudomonadota; Gammaproteobacteria; Enterobacterales; Enterobacteriaceae. RNAcentral also lists the same sequence under 3 other names. The record is from RNAcentral.